Pelobates cultripes (western spadefoot toad) is the source of this 427-nucleotide non-coding RNA. The record is from the annotation of a GenBank genome assembly. Lineage: Eukaryota; Metazoa; Chordata; Amphibia; Anura; Pelobatidae.
GGCAAAGGGAAGGAGUAAUGGCUGCCAAAUAGUGGUGAGUGAGGUGUAGGAUGUAGGCCUAAUGUUGAUGGGAGGGUGAGGGGGUGAUGCUUGAUGGUGAUGGGAGAAAGAGGGGGUGACGACUAAUGGUGAUGGAAGAUGGAGUGGGAUGAUACAAAAAGGAGGGCCCUCGUCAACUAUAACUGGUUAUCAUCCCCUCCCUCUAACACCACCAUUAGGCAUAAUCCCUCUCCUAUCACCAUUAGGAAUAAACCUCUUCCCUCUCUCUCCACCAGAAGGUACCAGCCCCCUCCUUCUCCCAUGAUUAUUAGCCAUGAAUUCCUCCUCCCAUCACCAUAAGGCAACCCCCUUCAUUUUCCACCACCAGGAUUAGUUUCUGUAUUUCCUUAGUAUCCCACAAAUGGUAGAUAUGAGAUAGAGGGGUGAG